CAAUAGCGUAUAUUAAAGUUGUUGCAGUUAAAAAGCUCGUAGUUGGAUUUGUGGCGUACGGUGUGUUCCGGGCACUUGUUGUCUGAGUAACCUGCUGUUGCCAUCCUUGGGUGGAACCUGUGUGGCAUUAGGUUGUCGUGCAGGGGAUGCCCAUCAUUUACUGUGAAAAAAUUAGAGUGUUCAAAACAGGCUUAUGCCGUUGAAUAUAUUAGCAUGGAAUAAUGAGAUAGGACUUUUUUGCUAUUUUGUUGGUUUGCGCAAAGAGGUAAUGAUUAAUAGGGACAGUUGGGGGUAUUCGUAUUCCAUUGUCAGAGGUGAAAUUCUUGGAUUUUUGGAAGACGAACUACUGCGAAAGCAUUUACCAAGGAUGUUUUCAUUAA
This 380-nucleotide ribosomal RNA is filed under the name uncultured eukaryote. Its description in RNAcentral is "partial 18S ribosomal RNA". It matches the Rfam family "Eukaryotic small subunit ribosomal RNA", at positions 592 to 976 of the family's 1831-position model. The record is from RNAcentral.